This 586-nucleotide long non-coding RNA is filed under the name Apteryx rowi (Okarito brown kiwi). RNAcentral describes it as "lncRNA (ENSARWG00000014753.1)". The record is from RNAcentral. Lineage: Eukaryota; Metazoa; Chordata; Aves; Apterygiformes; Apterygidae.
CUGUGGGAGGUGCCACCCCCGGGGCGCCGUGCCCCGGUGUCACCCGUGUCCCCCCCCCGGUGUCCCCGCAGGUGUUCACGCUGGACGCGCCGCGCAGCUUCCACGGGUGCUACAGCCCCUUCGGGGCGGGCGAGCGGGUGACACUGUUGGGGACAUUGGCCACCCGCCUGGCCACCCUCUGCGCCACCCUGGGCGUCUACCCGGCCGUGCGCUACCGCAGGGGCCCCGAGGACAACGCGGUGCUGGCCCAGGAGCUGCUCGUCCGCCUCGACGCCCUCCGGGCCGACAACCCCGCCAUGGUCGAGGGUCGCACGCAGCUGCUCAUCGUGGACCGGAGCUUCGACCUGGUGACGCCGCUGCUGCACGAGUUGACGCUGCAGGCGAUGGCCUACGACCUGCUGGACCUCCAGCACGACACCUACCGGUGCGUGUCACCAGCACCCAAGGGUGGGGGGCACCCAAGGGUGCCUGCGGUCUCCUCCGGGGCCCAUCCGGAUCCGUGGUUGCUCCAUGGCCCAUCCGUGGUUGCUCCAUGGCCCAUCCGUGGUUGCUCCACGGCCAAUGGGUGGUUGCUCCAUGGCCAAUG